AACGAACGCUGGCGGCAUGCCUAACACAUGCAAGUCGAACGAGACCUUCGGGUCUAGUGGCGCACGGGUGCGUAACGCGUGGGAACCUGCCCGUAGGUUCGGAAUAACUCCCCGAAAGGGGUGCUAAUACCGGAUAAUGUCUUCGGACCAAAGAUUUAUCGCCUUUGGAUGGGCCCGCGUUGGAUUGGCUAGUUGGUAGGGUAAAAGCCUACCAAGGCGACGAUCCAUAGCUGGUCUGAGAGGAUGAUCAGCCACACUGGGACUGAGACCCGGCCCAGACUCCUACGGGAGGCAGCAGUGGGGAAUAUUGGACAAUGGGCGAAAGACUGAUCCAGCAAUGCCGCGUGAGUGAUGAAGGCCUUAGGGUUGUAAAGCUCUUUUACCCGGGAUGAUAAUGACAGUACCGGGAGAAUAAGCCCCGGCUAACUCCGUG
Molecule: ribosomal RNA, 433 nt
Filed under: uncultured bacterium
Lineage: Bacteria
Description: partial 16S ribosomal RNA
Rfam family: Bacterial small subunit ribosomal RNA
Source: RNAcentral